RNAcentral lists this ribosomal RNA (579 nucleotides) under uncultured bacterium. RNAcentral's name for it is "bacterial SSU rRNA". It matches the Rfam family "Bacterial small subunit ribosomal RNA", at positions 112 to 704 of the family's 1533-position model. The record is from RNAcentral.
AACACGUGAGUAACCUGCCCUUGACUCUGGGAUAAGCCUGGGAAACUGGGUCUAAUACCGGAUACGACCGCCCACCGCAUGGUGUGGUGGUGGAAAGCUUUUGCGGUUUUGGAUGGACUCGCGGCCUAUCAGCUUGUUGGUGGGGUAAUGGCCUACCAAGGCGACGACGGGUAGCCGGCCUGAGAGGGUGACCGGCCACACUGGGACUGAGACACGGCCCAGACUCCUACGGGAGGCAGCAGUGGGGAAUAUUGCACAAUGGGCGCAAGCCUGAUGCAGCGACGCCGCGUGAGGGAUGACGGCCUUCGGGUUGUAAACCUCUUUCAGUAGGGAAGAAGCGAAAGUGACGGUACCUGCAGAAGAAGCGCCGGCUAACUACGUGCCAGCAGCCGCGGUAAUACAGAGGGUGCGAGCGUUAAUCGGAUUUACUGGGCGUAAAGCGUGCGUAGGCGGCUUUUUAAGUCGGAUGUGAAAUCCCUGAGCUUAACUUAGGAAUUGCAUUCGAUACUGGGAAGCUAGAGUAUGGGAGAGGAUGGUAGAAUUCCAGGUGUAGCGGUGAAAUGCGUAGAGAUCUGGAGG